RNAcentral lists this long non-coding RNA (598 nucleotides) under Brachypodium distachyon (stiff brome). RNAcentral describes it as "long non-coding RNA (BDIS_LNC002661)". Lineage: Eukaryota; Viridiplantae; Streptophyta; Magnoliopsida; Poales; Poaceae. The record is from RNAcentral.
CUCUGUUCUUGGCUUCUUGCUAUGACAUCGUUCUUCUUUUUCAGGAACUGUGCAAGAUUGCACGCCUGUUUUCAUUGAGAGAUGGACCGGAGAACCGCCAACUGUAGCAAUACAACACCACGUCACCAUAAAAGACCCCUUGAUCUUUGCCAGACUAGUGUGCAAAGAUCUCCGUGCAAAGAUUCAGUGUACGAAAAUAAUCAGUCACGGAGUGUUUUCUGGCUAUAGGCCUGCCAUAUAGACAGAUACAUCCAUGUAUAUUCUGGGUUUUUUUUUCUUCUUUCAUUUUUUCUUGUAAACUUCCGGGCUUUCACGACCCUCUUCGGCAAUAAAUGAAUUGUUGUAUCCAUUUCGUCAAAAAAAAAAAAUAUAGACAGAUACAUACAUGCAUACGCUAUUCAACUAGGAGCUUUUGCUUGAUCUUGCCGACUACUAGUCCAUACGAUAAAUAUUACACUUAUUUUCCUUUCUAAAAUCUGGCUCUUAAUCCUUUGCAAACCUAGCUACUUAGUUAAGAAGCAAAGCAGAAAGCAACUGAAUCAGUCUUCUCCCAGAUGAUCUUCGCUUAUUGCAUUUCGUAUCUCAUUCCACCAACGCC